UACAGAGGGUGCAAGCGUUGUUCGGAAUUAUUGGGCGUAAAGGGAGUGUAGGCGGCCAUUUAAGUCUUCUGUGAAAUCUACGGGCUCAGCCUGUAACGUGCAGAGGAAACUGGAAGGCUAGAGUGUCGGAGAGGAUAGUGGAAUUCCCGGUGUAGAGGUGAAAUUCGUAGAGAUCGGGAGGAACACCAGUGGCGAAGGCGACUAUCUGGCUGACAACUGACGCUGAGACUCGAAAGCAUGGGGAGCGAACAGG
Molecule: ribosomal RNA, 253 nt
Filed under: uncultured bacterium
Lineage: Bacteria
Description: partial 16S ribosomal RNA
Rfam family: Bacterial small subunit ribosomal RNA
Source: RNAcentral